Molecule: ribosomal RNA, 454 nt
Filed under: uncultured bacterium
Lineage: Bacteria
Description: partial 16S ribosomal RNA
Rfam family: Bacterial small subunit ribosomal RNA
Source: RNAcentral
GAUGAACGCUGACAGAAUGCUUAACACAUGCAAGUCUACUUGAACUUCGGUUUAGGUGGCGGACGGGUGAGUAACGCGUAAAGAACUUGCCUCACAGAUGGGGACAACAUUUGGAAACGAAUGCUAAUACCUGAUAUUAUGAUUUUAGGGCAUCCUAGAAUUAUGAAAGCUAUAUGCACUGUGAGAGAGCUUUGCGUCCCAUUAGCUAGUUGGAGAGGUAACGGCUCACCAAGGCGAUGAUGGGUAGCCGGCCUGAGAGGGUGAUCGGCCACAAGGGGACUGAGACACGGCCCUUACUCCUACGGGAGGCAGCAGUGGGGAAUAGUGGACAAUGGACCAAGAGUCUGAUCCAGCAAUUCUGUGUGCACGAUGAAGUUUUUCGGAAUGUAAAGUGCUUUCAGUUGGGAAGAAAAAAAUGACGGUACCAACAGAAGAAGUGACGGCUAAAUACGUG